Molecule: ribosomal RNA, 25 nt
Filed under: Polydrusus mollis
Lineage: Eukaryota; Metazoa; Arthropoda; Insecta; Coleoptera; Curculionidae
Also listed under: 1 other name
Description: partial 28S ribosomal RNA
Source: RNAcentral
GAAUUUAAGCAUAUCAAUAAGCGGA